This 1000-nucleotide ribosomal RNA is filed under the name Pseudomonas sp. RNAcentral describes it as "bacterial SSU rRNA". It matches the Rfam family "Bacterial small subunit ribosomal RNA", at positions 1 to 1007 of the family's 1533-position model. Lineage: Bacteria; Pseudomonadati; Pseudomonadota; Gammaproteobacteria; Pseudomonadales; Pseudomonadaceae. The record is from RNAcentral.
UUUAAAACAGGGUNUACCCGGUAAGCUAGCGCUAGAUGUGCAUGUUGAUCGGGAGCCAGGUAGAGGUUACUCGCUGGCAGGAGAGUGGCGUACGGCUGAGGAAUACAUCGGAAUCUACUUGUUCGUGGGGGAUAACGUAGGGAAACUUACGCUAAUACCGCAUACGACCUAAGGGUGAGAGAACGGGAUCUUCGGACCUUGCACAAGUGAAUGAGCCGAAGUCGGAUUAUCUAGAUGGAGGGGCACAGGCCCACCACGGUCACUAUCCGGACCGGGACGGAGAUGAUGAUCACUGACACUGAAACUGAGACCCGACCCAUACUCCAAGGGGAGGCGGCAAAGAUUAAUAUUGGACAGAGAGCGCGAGCCUGACCCACCCAUAGCGCGAGGAUGAACAUGGGCUUCGGGUUGUAAUUCCCUUUUGUUGGAAAACAAAUCCCGCUGGCUAAUACGCGGUUGCGAUGACGGUACCCAAAGAAUAAGCACCGGCUAACUUCGUGCCAGCAGCCGCGGUAAUACGAAGGGUGCAAAUGUUACUCGGAAUUACUGGGCGUAAAGCGUGCGGAGGUGGACGUUUAAGUUCAUUGUGAAAGCCCUGGGCUCAGCCUGGGAACUGCAAUGGAUACUGUGCAACUAGAGUGUGGGAGAUGGAAGCGGAAUUCCUGGUGUACCAGUGAAAUGCAUAGAGAUCAAGAUGAACAUCCAUGGCGAAGGCCUCUACCUGGACCAACACUGACACUGAGGCACGAGAGCGUGGGGAGCAAACAGGAUUAGAUACCCUGCUAGUCCAAGCCCUACACGAUGCGAACUGGAUGUUGGGUGCAAUUUGGCACGCAGUAUCAAAGCUAACGCUUGAACUUCGCCGCCUGAGGAGUACAGUCGCAAGACUGAAACUCAAAGGAGUUGACGCGCGCCCUCACAAGCGGUGGAGUAUGUAUUUAAUUCAAUGCUACACGGAUAACCUUACCUGGCCUUGACAUGACAAUAACUUUUCAGAUAU